GAAUAUUGGACAAUGGGCGAAAGCCUGAUCCAGCAAUGCCGCGUGAGUGAAGAAGGCCUUAGGGUUGUAAAGCUCUUUUACCCGGGAUGAUAAUGACAGUACCGGGAGAAUAAGCUCCGGCUAACUCCGUGCCAGCAGCCGCGGUAAUACGGAGGGAGCUAGCGUUGUUCGGAAUCACUGGGCGUAAAGCGCACGUAGGCGGCUUUGUAAGUUAGAGGUGAAAGCCCGGGGCUCAACUCCGGAACUGCCUUUAAGACUGCAUCGCUUGAAUCUGGGAGAGGUGAGUGGAAUUCCGAGUGUAGAGGUGAAAUUCGUAGAUAUUCGGAAGAACACCAGUGGCGAAGGCGGCUCACUGGACCAGAAUUGACGCUGAGGUGCGAAAGCGUGGGGAGCAAACAG
RNAcentral lists this ribosomal RNA (399 nucleotides) under uncultured bacterium. RNAcentral describes it as "bacterial SSU rRNA". It matches the Rfam family "Bacterial small subunit ribosomal RNA", at positions 359 to 775 of the family's 1533-position model. The record is from RNAcentral.